CUGCUCACCAUUUCUGUAAUGGCUGCUUCCUUGAAGUAGGCGCUGUCACGUGGAAUCUCUUAGCCUCUGCAUCCGGAGCUGCUGGAAGGGAGUCAGAUAGAAUUCAGUACCGCUUUCUUUGAGAUCAUCCUUCAAGAACCAGCCACAUCAUGAUCUCAGUUUCAACACAGUUGUUCCUAGUCCUCUUUUCAUUGCUUUUGGUGCUGCCUGUUGUUGAAGCAGUAGAAGCCGGAGAUGCAAUUGCUCUCUUGUUAGGUGUGAUUCUCAGUAUUACAGGCAUUUGUGCUUGUUUGGGGGUGUAUGCACGAAAAAGAAAUGGACAGAUAUGACUUUGAAGGGCCUCCUGAAUCAAACCUUCCUCUGAAAACCUUUGUGCUAUUGAGUUUCAGAACUGAGCUUUGGUGUCUGAAAGUUCCCAAGAAACAGUUAAUAGAGAAGUUUCAAUUUAUUGGGUAUUUUCCUAUAAAAAGGAACAAAUUGAUAUACUGUGUUAAAGGUAAAACAACAUGUUUUUGUCACAACAGAUAAUGCACUGGAAAAUGCCAUCUGUAAUUUGCAUUUGCUGAAAUUUGCAUAAGUAAUAUUUCAUAGUUUCAGAAUUCUCAGUAGGAAGAAAGAAACUCUUGCCCAGAAUCCUAGGAAAUUGCCACUGUUCAGUUAUAAUCACUGCCUCCUGCAUCAUUGAGGAAUUUUUCUCCAUAUUUUUAUUGGAUUUUUGUUUUGUUAUCUCCAAGUUAGUACUGUACCUAGACAUUAAAUACAGUUGGUCAGAAAUUAAAACUUAUCUCUGUGUGGGAAAAAGUUCAGAAAAUGUAUUCAAUGUAUCUAACAUUGAAAUGGAGAGAAGAUUUAAUGUAAAAAAAAUACUUUAUAUUGACAUUGAAAUGGAGAAGAGAUUUAUUGUUUAACAAAAACAAAAAAUGUUUAUAUUAAUUAAGUAACAUCUCCAUGGUGAGAAAUACUAUGUUAAGUAUAAACCUAUUAUGUAAGUUAAAAAAAAAAAAAAAA
Molecule: long non-coding RNA, 1008 nt
Filed under: Bos taurus (domestic cattle)
Lineage: Eukaryota; Metazoa; Chordata; Mammalia; Artiodactyla; Bovidae
Description: uncharacterized LOC100847946 (LOC100847946)
Source: RNAcentral